This 505-nucleotide ribosomal RNA is filed under the name Parasmittina sp. QY-2004. Its description in RNAcentral is "partial 16S ribosomal RNA". It matches the Rfam family "Archaeal large subunit ribosomal RNA", at positions 1887 to 2689 of the family's 2987-position model. Lineage: Eukaryota; Metazoa; Bryozoa; Gymnolaemata; Cheilostomatida; Smittinidae. The record is from RNAcentral.
CGCCUGUUUAUCAAAAACAUUUUUCUGCUUUUUCAGAAUAACUUCUGCUCAAUGUUUAUUAAUAGCUGCUUUAGCACGAAGGUAGCAUAAUCACUUGCCCCCUAAUUAGGGGCUGGUAUGAAGGGAGUUUUUGCUAAAUUGCUUAGAGUGGGGUGAAAUUGAAAUUAAAAUAAAAGUGAAAAUUCUUUUAUUAGUUAAAAAGAUGAAAAGACCCCGCAGAGCUUACUACAUCAGCGUGCAACUAAAAGUUACUUUUAGUUGCACGCUGAUGUGGUUGGUUGGGGCGACCUUAAUUUAAAACAAACUCUCAAUAAACUUUAUGAGAAAGAUCCUAAAAGAUUGUGGUUUAGCUACCUCGGGGAUAAUAGCAUUAUUUUCUAACCCAGUUCUUGUGGGUUAGAGGGGUUUUGACUUCGAUGUUGGAUCAAGCUUAGUCCCUAGAAAUAUAGGAGGCUUUUGUGUCUGUUCGACACCAGUAGCUUACGUGAUCUGAGUUCAGACCGGA